RNAcentral lists this long non-coding RNA (3559 nucleotides) under Sus scrofa (pig). Its description in RNAcentral is "lncRNA (ENSSSCG00000053302.1)". The record is from RNAcentral. Lineage: Eukaryota; Metazoa; Chordata; Mammalia; Artiodactyla; Suidae.
GAGAUUAGGAAGCCUUAUAGAGGCAGAGCAGCAGAUAAGUCCACCUCCAAGGAAUGAGGAUUUCCUUGCAAAGCCUGGAAAUGUUCACUGUACCCAAGAACUCAGCAUGUGGCAAAGUUCCAGAAGAGGAUCCAACACAGAGUGGAAAUAUUGAAAGCCCAGUAAUAAAAGGAGUACAAACAAACACAUUCACUCAUAGCUUCCAAUGGACAACACGAUGGAAGCCAUGAGGAGACCCUGGAGCAAGGUGUCCCAAACCACAGCUGAAAGCAGCGCUGCUCACACAGAGUGAGUGGGAGACAGGAGCUCAGGGAGCAGCCCCCAGAAUGCCAAGCUAUGCCCACUAGACUGAGCACACACAGAGCCUUAAUGGUAACUUACAGCACCAGAGCCAACUCGCCCCACACUAGACAGUAUUAGCUAUUUAAUUAUAACCAACAGUGCUUCUGGGUGUGGUUUUGGAAUAAAGUGAACUGUCCCCAUGCCCAGCCCAGCCACCUACCCAUUAGCACAGACCAUAUUAACACCAUCCCCUACCCCCGCCUCCACUGACAUGUAUUAAAGAUUUAUUGAGCUGUGUCCUCUCAGGUAUUUCACAAUACCCUGUUAACUUCUUUACGCAUAACACAGCAAUUUGAGUAGCAUUUUAUUUAUUUAUUUAUAUUUUUAAUUAAUUAGUUAAUUAAUUAAUUAUUCUUUUUAGGGCUGUACCUGUGGCAUAUGGAAGUUCCCAGGCUAUGGGUCGAAUCGGAGCUGUGCCAGCCUAUGCCACAGCCACAGCAACAGCAACACCAGAUUCAAGCCGCAUUUGUGACCUACACCAGAGCUCAUGGCAAUGCCGGAUCCCCGACCCACUGAGCGAGGCCAGGGAUGGAACCCGCAUCCUCAUGGAUACUAGUUGGUUCGUUUCUGCUGUGCCACAAUGGAAACUCCUGAGAUAGUAUUUUAAAUGAGAAAAAAGUAAAGUUCUGAGACCCACUCCAAAGUCACAUAGCUGAUAUUUAGAGGACCUGAGGUUCUGACACCCAGGCAAGCCCUCUUUUCCUGGGAAAUCUCAUGAACUGACAUUCUCUGGUGUCCCCCUGGGAGGACUCAGCCGUGUCUUCCCUCAGGAUGGGUGCUUCUGCUGUUGAUUCCCCGCCCCCUGUAAGUCCUACAUGCUGUCUGGCCGGUAGUGGCCACUGGUGGUGAGCGGUGAAUGACCCAGCUACUCCAUACUUCAGAUCCAGAUGGCGCAAGACCCAAAGCCACAGGCCACAGCUUCAAAUGGGAGUCUUGCAUUGAGCGAAAUCUGGUACUGAACCAUUUCUGGCCAGGCUCCUGGUUUGCACUGGAUCCUGAUUCCCCCAGGUAUGUGCCACCCUCCUCAAUCAUCUUCAUAAAAAAUAGCCAUCACUGGGAGUUCCGUCAUGGCGCAGUGGUUGAUGAAUCCGACUAGGAACCAUGAGGUUGCGGGUUCGAUCCCUGGCCUUGCUCAGUGGGUUAAGGAUCCAGCAUUGCUAUGAGCUGUGGUGUGGGUCACAGACGCGGCUUGGAUCCUGCGUUGCUGUGGCUCUGGCGUAGGCCCGUGGCUACAGCUCCGAUUAGACCCCUAGCCUGGGAACCUCCAUAUGCCGUGGGAGCGGCUCAAGAAAUGGCCAAAAAAAAAAAAAAAAAAAAAAAAAGACAAAAAAAAAACAAAAACCAAAAACAAAAAAACCUAACCAUCAUUUACUGAAUGCUUUUAGGUGCCAGGCACUGAACUAAGCCCCAAAGAUAGAUCUAAUUUUCACAAUGACACUCUGAAAUACCUAGCUUUGUAAUCCAAGUUUUGUAGAAGAAAUAAAUCAGCCCAGAAACAAUAAGUUGUCCAAGAUUGCAUACUUAGGCAGGAAUGAGGCUGGGUUUUGAACCCAGUAGCCUACAUCCUGGCUUUCUUGACCUGCCAUCUCCAGGAGUUCUUGGUUUUGUCAAAUUGGCUGACUCCAGAAACUGACCACAGGUCUUCUUCCUAGUUUUGACUCAGUGACUCACAGACACCGUGGCCUCCUCAACUUUCAGUUAUGACCCUGUUUUCUGAACUGGUGAUGCCCUUCAACUGGACACCUCCUGCCCCAGAAAUUUCCUGAGGCUCAUUAGCAACACUGCCUAAGUGUUCUGGUCUUACCUCUUUAGAAGAUCUGCUAACCCCUUGUUCUAGCUGAGACCCACUCCAAUCCAAUGUUGAAAAGGAGGGCUAACGCCAUUCUCAAACCAGGCAUACCCUAAACUGCUGUUUGCUGUGUGAAUAUCUGUCUAGGCUAUUUCCCAUCUGUCAAAAAACCUACCGAAAUCCAAUACAAAAUAUGGGUUUAUAGUGUUUUGUGUCAAUCACAUGUGUUAUUUAUGCUAUACUAGGCUGAAGUAACAACUACUGAUUAAUGAGUCAAAGACAAUCCACAAUUUGUGCCCAGGCUCAGGUGACAGUCUUGAGCAGGUUUGUGGACACCUCUUCCCCAGGUAGGCAUUUAAGGACCUAGGAUGAAAGAGGCUCUGCCAUCCUCAGAACAGGGCUUUCAAGGUCACUACUGUCACAUCCUUCCCAAUCAAGUGGAAGAAGGGAAGAGUGUGGAAGAUGCAAAGGAAGGUUUUCAUGGAUCACUGCCACAAGCAGCACGUGUAACUUCUGUUCACAUCCUAUUGGCUGAAGUGCAAAUUGCAAAGGAAGCUGGGGAGUGCAAUCUGGUUGUGUGACCAAGAAGAAGAAAACCAGAUUUCAGUGAACAAUAAAUUGUUCCUGCCACUCUCUACUUCUGAUAAAUAGUAUUUGAACUUUCUUCUUCAGUUUGCUCUUCUGCAUUCUCCUGAAUUUAGUUCUUACAUAUUUAUAGCUUUCUAACUUUAUUGAGUGUGUUUUUUCUUUAAGUCUUCUAGCGAGGUAGCAUAAAAGAGAUUGAAGAAAUGGACAUAGUGAAAAAUGAUUUCUGUGUCUUUUAUACAUAGUUAGGAAAGAAAAGGGGAUGAUGGAAUGGAUUUAUAAUGAGAUCCUGCUGUGCAGCAUUGAGAAAAAUGUCUAGAUACUUAUAUCGCAACAGAACAAAGGGAGGAAAAAAAAUGUAUACAUGUAAGUGUAACUUGGUCCCCAUGCUGUACAGCGGAAAAAAAUAAAUAAAAUUAAAUUAAAAAAAAAGAAAAGGGGACGAAAGCAAAUUUUUGGGUUUGUUUUCAGUUUUGUGAAAAGGCCUACAUUUGGGUAACAUUUACCAAGAUUUUACAGAUCUUGGGCUGUACCCUGGACAUCAUCUCCUUCUACAUAGAUAAUCCUAUAAUUGUAAUAUGGGUAAUCUGAUUCCCUUCUGUGGUUAUGCAUGUCAUGGAUGUAGGAGACUGAGAAAUGUCAGUCCAUCCAUGCUAACAUGGAAUUCCAGCUAUGAUUUUUUCAUGAAGACAGAGCAAAUAGAAGUCAUUGUAUUUAUAAACAUUUUUAUCAACGGAACAUUAAAUGUAGUGUUUUUGUCAUUUAUCCUUAAGCAUUAUUCAUCACAUCAUAAUAUAUUCUAUUCUGCCUUCCAGACUUGAAUAAAGAUUUCUUGAUUUGAAU